AGUGAACGCUGGCGGUAUGCCUAACACAUGCAAGUCGAACGGCAGCACAGUAAGGGCUUGCUCUUACGGGUGGCGAGUGGCGGACGGGUGAGGAAUACAUCGGAAUCUACUUUUUCGUGGGGGAUAACGUAGGGAAACGUACGCUAAUACCGCAUACGACCUACGGGUGAAAGCAGGGGAUCUUCGGACCUUGCGCGAUUGAAUGAGCCGAUGUCGGAUUAGCUAGUUGGCGGGGUAAAGGCACACCAAGGCGACGAUCCGUAGCUGGUCUGAGAGCAUGAUUCGCCAGACUGGCACUGAGACACGGUCCAGACUCCUACGGGAGGACGCAGUGGGGAAUAUUGCACAAUGGGGGAAAGCCUGAUCCAGCCCUACCGCGUGGGUGCAGAAGGCCUUCGGGUUGUAAAGCCAUUUUGUUGGGCAAGAAAAGAAGCAGGUUAAUCCCCCGCUGUUCUGACGGUACCCAAAGAAUAAGCACCGGCUAACUCCGUG
This 492-nucleotide ribosomal RNA is filed under the name uncultured bacterium. RNAcentral describes it as "partial 16S ribosomal RNA". It matches the Rfam family "Bacterial small subunit ribosomal RNA", at positions 29 to 507 of the family's 1533-position model. The record is from RNAcentral.